Molecule: ribosomal RNA, 499 nt
Filed under: uncultured bacterium
Lineage: Bacteria
Description: partial 16S ribosomal RNA
Rfam family: Bacterial small subunit ribosomal RNA
Source: RNAcentral
ACUCAAAUGAAUUGACGGGGGCCCGCACAAGCGGUGGAGCAUGUUGUUUAAUUCGAUGCAUCGCGAAGAACCUUACCUGGGCUUGACAUCUGGGGAAUCCCCUUGAAAGAGGGGAGUGCCUUCGGGAACCCCAAGACAGGUGUUGCAUGGCUGUCGUCAGCUCGUGUCGUGAGAUGUUGGGUUAAGUCCCGCAACGAGCGCAACCCUUGUCCUUAGUUGCCAUCGGGUUAUGCCGGGAACUCUAAGGAAACUGCCGGUGUUAAACCGGAGGAAGGUGGGGAUGACGUCAAGUCCUCAUGGCCUUUAUGCCCAGGGCUACAGACGUGCUACAAUGGUCGGUACAAAGGGCAGCGACAACGCGAGUUGAAGCAAAUCCCAAAAAGCCGAUCUCAGUCCGGAUUGAAGUCUGCAACUCGACUUCAUGAAGUUGGAAUCGCUAGUAAUCGCGGAUCAGAACGCCGCGGUGAAUACGUUCCCGGGCCUUGUACACACCGCCCGU